Molecule: long non-coding RNA, 915 nt
Filed under: Homo sapiens (human)
Lineage: Eukaryota; Metazoa; Chordata; Mammalia; Primates; Hominidae
Description: non-protein coding lnc-CEP126-2:2
Source: RNAcentral
AUGGCUUCAAGACAACCAGAAGUGCCUGCUCUUGAGGCUAGUGGGCCUCUAGGCAAGAUGUUCCUGCCCACCAGGAUAUACCGUUGGGCAUCCAGCUACGAUGAUGCCCUCAAGGACCCUGCGCCCAUGACUCUUCCUCCACUGGACAUGAGCAGUGUCCCCUAGAAGCCAGUGAUUCCAGAGCACAAUAUCAGUGCAUCACCAAGGUGGAGGAAGAUGAGGCCAGCCUACCCUCCCCAGCCAUGACCCUGUCAUCGGCCAUUGACAGUGUGGACAAGGUCCCAGUGGUGAAGGCUAAGCUACACAUGUCAUCAUGAAUUAUCGGAUCACAAAACAGACCCAGGAAAGUAUUCAGCAUUUUGGGUGACAGGCAGGGCUGAGAGAUGCUGGCUACACACCCCACAGGGGCCUCACCACCGAGGAGACCAAGUACCUUCCAGUGGCAGGAGCACUCCACAAACUAAAGCUACAGAGUAGAGAGAUAACAAAAGAAUAGAGGCAGCCUGCAUCAGCCCGGUCACCCCAAGCUCCACUCCUCAUUCUUCCCCUAAGCAGAAGCCCAGAGGCUGGCUCACUUCUGGUUCUUCCACAGCUUUACCUGGCCCAAAUCCUAGCACCAUGGAUUCUGAAAGUGGGGAUAAAGACAGAAACUUGUCAGGUAAGUGGAGCCUCUUUGGACCAAGAUGCCUUCAGAAGUUUGAUUCUGGAAGUUUUGCCACCCAGGCCUACCAAGGAGCCUAGAAGCCUUCUCCAAUGGAAUUGAUCCAUGCCCAGGCCAGCUGAAUGGCUGAAGAUCCAGUAACCUUGAAGCUGCCCAAGAUGAACAUCCUAGUGAUGGAAGGGAAGAAACAGCCACCAUGGACCCAUAAGCUCAAACCACCUGACUUGAAUGUGCUCACACCCACUGGCUUCUAG